GGCACUGCUGUAGCUGCUGCAAUGAAGUUUUAGUGUUCAGCCAUAUGUACAAGCUUUAAUAAUGGAUGAGGAUCAAACUGGCUGUUGGGCACUGAAUGUGAAUCACCACAAUGUCAGAAUCUCCAGAGGAACUUCCCAAGGGAUGCUGAUUCUAUGCUAACAGCCAUAGAAACUCCUAUGCUCUGGCUGGAACAUGUCAGGUGGUGGAAACCCAGGAGAGGACAGAUCUUAAGUCAAGGGGGAGAAAAAAGGCUCUGCUGAAGCUAAAUCUGUAGAGAGAUGUGGUCUGCAGCUGAAGACAUUCAAGCAAUGAUCCU
This 317-nucleotide long non-coding RNA is filed under the name Cyanistes caeruleus (blue tit). RNAcentral describes it as "lncRNA (ENSCCEG00000010901.1)". Lineage: Eukaryota; Metazoa; Chordata; Aves; Passeriformes; Paridae. The record is from RNAcentral.